UACAGAGGGUGCGAGCGUUAAUCGGAAUUACUGGGCGUAAAGGGUGUGUAGGUGGUUGGGUAAGUUAGAUGUGAAAUCCCCGGGCUUAACCUGGGAACUGCGUUUAAAACUGCUCGACUAGAGUAUUGCAGAGGGUAGUGGAAUUUCCAGUGUAGCGGUGAAAUGCGUAGAUAUUGGAAGGAACACCAGUGGCGAAGGCGACUACCUGGGCAAAUACUGACACUGAGACACGAAAGCAUGGGGAGCAAACAGG
This 253-nucleotide ribosomal RNA is filed under the name uncultured bacterium. RNAcentral describes it as "partial 16S ribosomal RNA". It matches the Rfam family "Bacterial small subunit ribosomal RNA", at positions 524 to 776 of the family's 1533-position model. The record is from RNAcentral.